GUGCUCUGUUGUUAAUACCUAGGGGACUGGUAGCUCAGUGCCUGUACAUCUUUUAAAGCAGGGCUCUGAAUGAGAGAGGCCAAGGCGUUUGUAGCUGUUGGGGUGUGGUGCCACUGCUUUGGCUGCAGUGCUCAUUGUUCUAUCUGCUUUCAGUUACCUCUUCUCAGGCAUUUCUUAAGCCUGGUGGUUUUACACAGUUAAAGGAGUGUCCUGUACAAACAAAGGUAGAUUUCAAUGUUUGUUUUGAAACAGUUGACAAUAAACCACAAAAACUAUUUCCAAACAGGACUCUCAGAUGCAAAGGAUAAUCCUCUACUUCUUAUUUUAGCACCUGUUAAAAGCUGGGACUUCUGGGAUGUUCUUGACAUCAGCCUGCAAAAUGGCCACAGCUUGGAGGGACACCUGACCUUUUGCCAUCAGCUGGGGAACUUCUUAUCAUUUAAAUAAUGAAAACAGCAGCCAUUCUUCUUCAACUCCUGUCAGCCUGAAAGCUAUUCGUGUUAAACCAGUGCAGCACCAACGGGGAGCUUUAGCUAAGACACUGCUGACAGCACUGAAAAUAGUGGAAGUCCUGUGACCACCAUCACACCCUCUGUCACCUGCAAGAAAUGAAAAAUUUAAGAAGGCUUUUCCAUUUAAACAGAUGCUCAUGAAUGUCACUGUUGCACAUUUGUGGUUUUAAAUUAGAGGUUGUAAACAGUCACAGAAUAAAGUUGCAUGUUUUA
Molecule: long non-coding RNA, 725 nt
Organism: Cyanistes caeruleus (blue tit)
Lineage: Eukaryota; Metazoa; Chordata; Aves; Passeriformes; Paridae
Source: RefSeq, a predicted model, not a curated record